RNAcentral lists this ribosomal RNA (537 nucleotides) under uncultured bacterium. RNAcentral describes it as "bacterial SSU rRNA". It matches the Rfam family "Bacterial small subunit ribosomal RNA", at positions 777 to 1312 of the family's 1533-position model. The record is from RNAcentral.
AAUAGAUACCCGGGUGGUCCACGCCGUAAACGAUGAGUGCUAAGUGUUAGGGGGUUUCCGCCCCUUAGUGCUGCAGCUAACGCAUUAAGCACUCCGCCUGGGGAGUACGGUCGCAAGACUGAAACUCAAAGGAAUUGACGGGGGCCCGCACAAGCGGUGGAGCAUGUGGUUUAAUUCGAAGCAACGCGAAGAACCUUACCAGGUCUUGACAUCCCAUUGACCGCUAUGGAGACAUAGUUUUCCCUUCGGGGACAGUGGUGACAGGUGGUGCAUGGUUGUCGUCAGCUCGUGUCGUGAGAUGUUGGGUUAAGUCCCGCAACGAGCGCAACCCUUGAUCUUAGUUGCCAUCAUUUAGUUGGGCACUCUAAGGUGACUGCCGGUGACAAACCGGAGGAAGGUGGGGAUGACGUCAAAUCAUCAUGCCCCUUAUGACCUGGGCUACACACGUGCUACAAUGGAUGGUACAAAGGGCUGCAAGACCGCGAGGUCAAGCCAAUCCCAUAAAACCAUUCUCAGUUCGGAUUGUAGGCUGCAACC